AAACCAUCAAGCCCAGCUUGGUAUUGGACGCGGUCGAGUGACCCGUCCGUAACCCGUUGGCGGUGCAGUCCGGCUUCGAGCGUAGCAGAAAUUUCGCCUCGGGAGUCCGCACGGCGCCCGCCAGGAAAUGGCCACCUUUUAAA
Molecule: unclassified non-coding RNA, 143 nt
Filed under: uncultured Dothideomycetes
Lineage: Eukaryota; Fungi; Ascomycota; Dothideomycetes
Description: sequence contains ITS2
Source: RNAcentral